AGGACGAACGCUGGCGGCGUGCUUAACACAUGCAAGUCGAGCGGAAAGGCCCUUCGGGGUACUCGAGCGGCGAACGGGUGAGUAACACGUGAGUAACCUGCCCCUAGCUCUGGGAUAGCUCCGGGAAACCGGGAUUAAUACCAGAUACGACCACUUUAGACAUCUGUCGUGGUGGAAAGGAUUCCGGCUAGGGAUGGGCUCGCGGCCUAUCAGCUUGUUGGUGGGGUAACGGCCUACCAAGGCGACGAC
Molecule: ribosomal RNA, 249 nt
Filed under: uncultured bacterium
Lineage: Bacteria
Description: partial small subunit ribosomal RNA
Rfam family: Bacterial small subunit ribosomal RNA
Source: RNAcentral